This 770-nucleotide ribosomal RNA is filed under the name Staphylococcus epidermidis. RNAcentral's name for it is "bacterial SSU rRNA". It matches the Rfam family "Bacterial small subunit ribosomal RNA", at positions 59 to 812 of the family's 1533-position model. Lineage: Bacteria; Bacillati; Bacillota; Bacilli; Caryophanales; Staphylococcaceae. The record is from RNAcentral.
CAGUCGAGCGAACAGACGAGGAGCUUGCUCCUCUGACGUUAGCGGCGGACGGGUGAGUAACACGUGGAUAACCUACCUAUAAGACUGGGAUAACUUCGGGAAACCGGAGCUAAUACCGGAUAAUAUAUUGAACCGCAUGGUUCAAUAGUGAAAGACGGUUUUGCUGUCACUUAUAGAUGGAUCCGCGCCGCAUUAGCUAGUUGGUAAGGUAACGGCUUACCAAGGCAACGAUGCGUAGCCGACCUGAGAGGGUGAUCGGCCACACUGGAACUGAGACACGGUCCAGACUCCUACGGGAGGCAGCAGUAGGGAAUCUUCCGCAAUGGGCGAAAGCCUGACGGAGCAACGCCGCGUGAGUGAUGAAGGUCUUCGGAUCGUAAAACUCUGUUAUUAGGGAAGAACAAAUGUGUAAGUAACUAUGCACGUCUUGACGGUACCUAAUCAGAAAGCCACGGCUAACUACGUGCCAGCAGCCGCGGUAAUACGUAGGUGGCAAGCGUUAUCCGGAAUUAUUGGGCGUAAAGCGCGCGUAGGCGGUUUUUUAAGUCUGAUGUGAAAGCCCACGGCUCAACCGUGGAGGGUCAUUGGAAACUGGAAAACUUGAGUGCAGAAGAGGAAAGUGGAAUUCCAUGUGUAGCGGUGAAAUGCGCAGAGAUAUGGAGGAACACCAGUGGCGAAGGCGACUUUCUGGUCUGUAACUGACGCUGAUGUGCGAAAGCGUGGGGAUCAACAUGGAUUAGAUACCCUGGUAGUCCACGCCGUAACGAUGA